UGUAACAGCAAUUGUGAUAUCAUUAAAAUAAUUCGACGGUACUGCAAAAGUAUACAAAAGUGACAGAAAAAAAAGAUAUUUUUAUGAAAAUAACCCAAAUUUUAGUUUGCUCUUCUUGAAGCUUCAAGGUGAAGCUUCAAUGGAGUCUUGGAUCGAACUGAGUGAAAGAGGGAGAGAAGGAAAGUUAUGGAAAGCUCAGGGUAUUAAGUCAGCUUCAGUAUAACUCAGGAUUGAGAUUGUUCAUGCUUCUCCUUGGAAAUAAACUUCAGAAGAAGUUUCUUCUCGGCUUGAACUGACCCUGUCUCGUAGGAGUGAACCUGCUGAAUUGAUAGUUAAGUUUCUAUUAUCCCAAUCUCUGUUAAGUGAAUUAACGGUUGGUUAACUGCAAAUCUGAAUCAUUAUGCAGGGCUUUAUGUUAGGACUGGAUUUACAGGUCAUGUGAUGGUGUUCCAACCCUUGGAAAAUGGUACAGGUUUGUUAAUUGGUUUUGAGGUUCGCACAUUGCUUUGUUAACUUGGAAAUAAAAAAUAAAUGGAUUUAUGCAUGACUAUUUAUCCUAUUGCAAUUUCCAGAUUUGAGAUGAAUGAUGAUAUGCUUUGUUGAUGCAGUUGGAUAUGAUUGCUUGAUUGUCAUGGAUAUAUUGUUGGCUAGUAUGAUUUGUUGAAUCGCAUUUUACUGCAGGUCUUCGAAUGGGAAAUGUGGUUUGUUGGUCCUGCAGGUGUUGCAUCUUGCUCAUAUGUUUAAUUAGUUGCAGAAUGUCCUGCUUUUGCUGCAGUUUGGUUCAGUUUGUAUUGAUCCUAGAUAUUGGUUUCUGGUUUGCAUCAGGUUCUUCGCAUUUCUAACUUUGCAUUCAUAUCAUUUUGUAGGAUUUUGGGAUUCUUGUUAUUGCAUAUCAGAUUAGACUCUGACAUUUCCUUGCAGACCUUUGACUAGUGUUUUAUGUGUGCCAUUAUGCAUUGCCUUGAGUUCUUUUUGUAGGUUACAUGCACACAUGACACAUGGUGUUUGAACAAGGGUUUGCAACAUAAUGACCAAGAUUGGAUUUUGAAGCAUUAUGCACACAUGACAAGGAUUCAAGGAUCAAGGAUUAACAUUUGACAUUAGCAUUGGAAUUAGAAAUUGGACUUAGGGUUUUAGGAUGAAAAGGGUUUGAGUUGACUUUGGUCAAAGUUGACCCAAAAAAAUCAACUCUUGGUCAAAAUUUCCAUUUUCUUGUAUUUUUCAUGUAUGAACCUUUGUAAUGAUUUAUAAUGGAUGGACUUUGAUGUUUUGGUAUGAAUAAUAUUGAUGUUUAGAUGAAUUUGAUA
Long non-coding RNA from Lathyrus oleraceus (garden pea), 1307 nucleotides. RefSeq lists it as uncharacterized. Lineage: Eukaryota; Viridiplantae; Streptophyta; Magnoliopsida; Fabales; Fabaceae. The record is from RefSeq and is a predicted model, not a curated record. The transcript has 2 exons.